UGCGUAGGCGGGUCUUUAAGUCAGGGGUGAAAUCCUGGAGCUCAACUCCAGAACUGCCUUUGAUACUGAGGAUCUUGAGUUCGGGAGAGGUGAGUGGAACUGCGAGUGUAGAGGUGAAAUUCGUAGAUAUUCGCAAGAACACCAGUGGCGAAGGCGGCUCACUGGCCCGAUACUGACGCUGAGGCAAGACUGGGAGCAACA
RNAcentral lists this ribosomal RNA (201 nucleotides) under uncultured bacterium. RNAcentral describes it as "partial 16S ribosomal RNA". It matches the Rfam family "Bacterial small subunit ribosomal RNA", at positions 568 to 753 of the family's 1533-position model. The record is from RNAcentral.